RNAcentral lists this ribosomal RNA (700 nucleotides) under Pristimantis gloria. Its description in RNAcentral is "partial 16S ribosomal RNA". It matches the Rfam family "Bacterial large subunit ribosomal RNA", at positions 845 to 2084 of the family's 2925-position model. The record is from RNAcentral. Lineage: Eukaryota; Metazoa; Chordata; Amphibia; Anura; Strabomantidae.
AUAGCUGGUUUCUCAAGAAAAGAAUUUAAGUCCAACCUAAAGUAAUCUCGAUUCACAUAAAUCCCCAUACCACUUUAGAGCAAUUCAAAUGAGGUACAGCCCAUUUGAUAAAGGAUACAACCUUAACUAACGGGUAAUAUUAAAUCUACACCUUCAAGUAGGCCUAAGAGCAGCCACCAUUAAAAGCGUCAAAGCUUAAUCAUGUUUUCAUCAAUUUAAAAUCCCCCAUUGACCCCUUUAACUUUACUGAGAAUUUCUAUAUCGUAUAGAACAUUUUAUGCUAAAACUAGUAACAAGAGAAAACCCUCUCCCAAUGCAAACAAAAGCCAGCAAGAACCCAUCACUGGCAACUAACAGACCUAAACAAAAGUAACAAAAUCACUAGAAAACCCUACUUCUCACAACUGUUAACCUAACACUAGAGCAUUUCAGGGAAGAUUAAAAGAAAAAGAAGGAACUCGGCAAACACUAAUCCCGCCUGUUUACCAAAAACAUCGCCUCUUGUCCCUAUAAGAGGUCAAGCCUGCCCAGUGACUUUGUUCAACGGCCGCGGUAUCCUAACCGUGCGAAGGUAGCGUAAUCACUUGUUUUCUAAAUAAAGACCAGUAUGAAAGGCAUCACGAGGAUUAAACUGUCUCCUUUUUCCAAUCAGUGAACCUAAUCUCCCCGUGAAGAAGCGGGGAUUAUUUCAUAAGACGAG